RNAcentral lists this long non-coding RNA (298 nucleotides) under Coturnix japonica (Japanese quail). Its description in RNAcentral is "lncRNA (ENSCJPG00005011634.1)". Lineage: Eukaryota; Metazoa; Chordata; Aves; Galliformes; Phasianidae. The record is from RNAcentral.
ACCUUACCUAGCACCAUUACUUCUCUCUGAGGAUGGAGAGCUGCAUCAUCUCCCAGCAAAGAAAAAAGAAAACUUUCAGAAACUUUCUACCUUCUCAGAGAAAAGUAUAAGAACUGGCAAAACUAGUAACGAACAGAACCUUGGAACCUGAAUCGGUUGAGUAGUAGGGGCUACAAAUAACAAGAAAGCCGUGAGUUCUGCUCUUCUGGAAAUUGGAUCCCUUCUUGCAUCUCAUUAUGUCAAGUUGGGAAAGUUUAGGUAAUACAAUAAGGAACAAAUAAAAAUGUUAAAGCCAUCA